RNAcentral lists this ribosomal RNA (460 nucleotides) under uncultured bacterium. RNAcentral's name for it is "bacterial SSU rRNA". It matches the Rfam family "Bacterial small subunit ribosomal RNA", at positions 338 to 795 of the family's 1533-position model. The record is from RNAcentral.
CCUACGGGUGGCAGCAGUAAGGAAUAUUGGGCAAUGGCCGCAAGUCUGACCCAGCCAUGCCGCGUGGAGGAUGAAGGCCCUCUGGGUUGUAAACUUCUUUUAUUUGGGAAGAACUGUAGGUUUUCUAACUUACUUGACGGUACCAGAUGAAUAAGCACCGGCUAACUCCGUACCAGCAGCCGCGGUAAUACAGAGGGUGCAAGCGUUAUCCGGAUUCACUGGGUUUAAAGGGUUCGUAGGCGGGCAGUUAAGUCAGUGGUGAAAUCUCCGGGCUCAACCCGGAAACUGCCGUUGAUACUAUCUGCCUUGAAUAACGUUGAGGUGAGCGGAAUAUGUCAUGUAGCGGUGAAAUGCUUAGAUAUGACAUAGAACACCGAUUGCGAAGGCAGCUCACUAAACGCUCAUUGACGCUGAGGCACGAAAGCGUGGGGAUCAAACAGGAUUAGAUACCCUGGUAGUC